Molecule: long non-coding RNA, 2592 nt
Filed under: Mytilus galloprovincialis (Mediterranean mussel)
Lineage: Eukaryota; Metazoa; Mollusca; Bivalvia; Mytilida; Mytilidae
Source: RNAcentral
UUAUUAGGUCUUUCCACCUUUCUGUGGAAAGACCUAUUGAAUUUGUUCUGAUUAUUAUUAGGUCUUUCCACCUUUCCGUGGAAAGACCUAUUGAAUUUGUUCUGAUUAUUAGGUCUUUCCACCUUUCCGUGGAAAGACCUAUUGAAUUUGUUCUGAUUAUUAUUAUUAUUAUUUUUUUUUUUUUUUUCUUCCGCCUAAUUUUUUUUCUUGUGUAUUAUUGAUGUUUCAAAAGAUGUCGCUUAGAUAUUUGGAAUAUGGUAUCGUAUAGUUUAUACGCUUUAAAAAUUUACAACUGUGUAACAAAAUACUUUACGUUGUAAGAGUUAUCUCCCCAAACACUGUUUUUCUUGUGGCCACUACUCCUUCGCAACCGUUAAAGAUUACGACAAAUUUAUUUUACCAAAUUGCUCGUUACAUCUUCAGGAUUAGGAUAUUCAUUUGGACCGAAGCUUUACGGAGACUCCAUAUGAGAGUUAUUCCCCUUUUCCCUUAAAUUAAGUGAUAUGCAUUUCUAAAUGGUAAACCAUAAGUGAUAAAGACAUAGGGUCUUUAGAUUUGGGGUCCUUGGUCCAAAAUAAUAAAAAUGAGGUCAAGGUCAAAGGUCAAGGUCAUAUUCUAAAUAUUUUGAUUUUGGCUUAUUUUCAUUUAUUUUCAAAUACCUUAUGACAUAUCGACAAAUAAUUUUUCAUAAAUUGUUAGUUGCGACAUGUCCUUACUUGUAUAUUUUGAUUGAAAGGGUGCGCAGGCAAUAAAUAGGAGUUUUUGCCCAUCUUACAUUUAGAAUUACACGUAAAGUGAUAUUACUAAUAAACCAAACAUAUUAAAGACCUUGGGUCUUUUGAUUUAAGGUCCUUGGUUUGUGAACUUGAAAUUGAGGUCAAGGUCAUAGGUCAAUAUGACGUUCUAGAUUUUGACCUUUGCUUUAAAUUCAUAUAAAUACAUCAUACAGCCAUAGGAACUAACAUUUUAAACUGAUUUUUAAUAUUUCAAUAUCAAAAUAGAUCUUUUCUAGUGGAAAGACCUACAAUUGUUCUCUGAACAAUUGGUUUUUAAUUAUUAUUAUUAUUUUUUUUUUUUUUCUUCCGCCUAAUUUUUUUUCUUGCGUAUUAUUGAUGUUUCAAAAGAUGUCGCUUAGAUAUUUGGAAUAUGGUAUCGUAUAGUUUAUACGCUUUAAAACUUUACAACUGUGUAACAAAAUACUUUACGUUGUAAGAGUUAUCUCCCCAAACACUGUUUUUCUUGUGGCCACUACUCCUUCGCAACCGUUAAAGAUUACGACAAAUUUAUUUUACCAAAUUGCUCGUUACAUCUUCAGGAUUAGGAUAUUCAUUUGGACCGAAGCUUUACGGAGACUCCAUAUGAGAGUUAUUCCCCCUUUUCCAUUUAAUUAAGUGAUAUGCAUUUCUAAAUGGUAAACCAUAAGUGAUAAAGACAUAGGGUCUUUAGAUUUGGGGUCCUUGGUCGAAAAUAAUAAAAAUGAGGUCAAGGUCAAAGGUCAAGGUCAUAUUCUAAAUUUUGAUUUUGGCUUAUUUUCAUUUAUUUUCAAAUACCUUAUGACAUAUCGACAAAUAAUUUUUCAUAAAUUGUUAGUUGCGACAUGUCCUUACUUGUAUAUUUUGAUUGAAAGGGUGCGCAGACAAUAAAUGGGAGUUUUUGCCCAUCUUACAUUUAGAAUUACGCGUAAAGUGAUAUUACUAAUAAACCAAACAUAUUAAAGACCUUGGGUCUUUUGAUUUAAGGUCCUUGGUUUGUGAACUUGAAAUUGAGGUCAAGGUCAUAGGUUGAUAUGACGUUCUAGAUUUUGACCUUUGCUUUAAAUUCAUAUAAAUACAUCAUAAAGCCAUAGGAACUAACAUUUUAAACUGAUUUUUAAUAUUUCAAUAUCAAAAUAGAUCUUUUACUAGUGGAAAGACCUACAAUUGUUCUCUGAACAAUUGGUUUUUAAUUAUUAUUAUUUUUUUUUUUUUUUUUUCUUCCGCCUAAUUUUUUUUCUUGCGUAUUAUUGAUGUUUCAAAAGAUGUCGCUUAGAUAUUUGGAAUAUGGUAUCGUAUAGUUUAUACGCUUUAAAACUUUACAACUGUGUAACAAAAUACUUUACGUUGUAAGAGUUAUCUCCCCAAACACUGUCUUUCUUGUGGCCACUACUCCUUCGCAACCGUUAAAGAUUACGACAAAUUUAUUUUACCAAAUUGCUCGUUACAUCUUCAGGAUUAGGAUAUUCAUUUGGACCGAAGCUUUACGGAGACUCCAUAUGAGAGUUAUUCCCCCUUUUCCAUUUAAUUAAGUGAUAUGCAUUUCUAAAUGGUAAACCAUAAGUGAUAAAGACAUAGGGUCUUUAGAUUUGGGGUCCUUGGUCGAAAAUAAUAAAAAUGAGGUCAAGGUCAAAGGUCAAGGUCAUAUUCUAAAUUUUGAUUUUGGCUUAUUUUCAUUUAUUUUCAAAUACCUUAUGACAUAUCGACAAAUAAUUUUUCAUAAAUUGUUAGUUGCGACAUGUCCUUACUUGUAUAUUUUGAUUGAAAGGGUGCGCAGACAAUAAAUGGGAGUUUUUGCCCAUCUUACAUUUAGAAUUACGCGUAAAGUGAUAUUACUAAU